This 408-nucleotide ribosomal RNA is filed under the name uncultured bacterium. RNAcentral's name for it is "partial 16S ribosomal RNA". It matches the Rfam family "Bacterial small subunit ribosomal RNA", at positions 28 to 526 of the family's 1533-position model. The record is from RNAcentral.
GACGAACGCUGGCGGCGUGCUUAACACAUGCAAGUCGAACGAAGUCGCGAACGGGUGAGUAACGCGUAAUCAACCUGCCCUUCAGAGGGGGACAACAGUUGGAAACGACUGCUAAUACCGCAUACUGAAGGAGGGGAUUGCGUCUGAUUAGCUGGUUGGAGGGGUAACGGCCCACCAAGGCGAUGAUCAGUAGCGAGACUGAGAUGAUGGACGGCCACAUUGGGACUGAGACACGGCCCAGACUCCUACGGGAGGCAGCAGUGGGGAAUUUUCCGCAAUGGAGGGAAGUCUGACGGAGCAACGCCGCGUGAGUGAUGACGGCCUUCGGGUUGGAAAGCUCUGUUAAUCGGGACGCGGUACCGGAAUAGAAAGCCACGGCUAAAUACGUGCCAGCAGCCGCGGUAAUUC